CAGGACGAACGCUGGCGGCGUGCCUAACACAUGCAAGUCGAGCGGGACAUACGACGGAGCAGAAGUUUCGGAUGGAAGCGAAGAUGUAUGUUCUAGCGGCGGACGGGUGAGUAACGCGUGAGCAACCUGUCCUUCACAGGGGGAUAACACAGCGAAAGUUGUACUAAUACCGCAUAAGACCACAUUGGGACAUCCCAGAGGGGUCAAAGGAGCAAUCCGGUGAAGGGUGGGCUCGCGUCCGAUUAGAUAGUUGGUGAGGUAACGGCCCACCAAGUCGACGAUCGGUAGCCGACCUGAGAGGGUGAUCGGCCACAUUGGGACUGAGACACGGCCCAAACUCCUACGGGAGGCAGCAGUGGGGAAUAUUGGGCAAUGGGGGGAAACCCUGACCCAGCAACGCCGCGUGAGGGAAGAAGGUUUUCGGAUCGUAAACCUCUGUCCUUGGUGAAGAGGAAGAGACGGUAGCCAAGGAGGAAGCCCCGGCUAACUACGUGCCAGCCGCUGC
RNAcentral lists this ribosomal RNA (505 nucleotides) under uncultured bacterium. Its description in RNAcentral is "bacterial SSU rRNA". It matches the Rfam family "Bacterial small subunit ribosomal RNA", at positions 25 to 518 of the family's 1533-position model. The record is from RNAcentral.